CCUAGUACGAGAGGACCGGAGUGGACGCAUCACUGGUGUUCGGGUUGUCAUGCCAAUGGCACUGCCCGGUAGCUAAAUGCGGAAGAGAUAAGUGCUGAAAGCAUCUAAGCACGAAACUUGCCCCGAGAUGAGUUCUCCCUGACUCCUUGAGAGUCCUGAAGGAACGUUGAAGACGACGACGUUGAUAGGCCGGGUGUGUAAGCGCAGCGAUGCGUUGAGCUAACCGGUACUAAUGAACCGUGAGGCUUAACCUUACAACGCCGAAGCUGUU
This 271-nucleotide ribosomal RNA is filed under the name Escherichia coli. Its description in RNAcentral is "partial 23S ribosomal RNA". It matches the Rfam family "Bacterial large subunit ribosomal RNA", at positions 2677 to 2925 of the family's 2925-position model. Lineage: Bacteria; Pseudomonadati; Pseudomonadota; Gammaproteobacteria; Enterobacterales; Enterobacteriaceae. The record is from RNAcentral.